This is a long non-coding RNA of Corticium candelabrum, 487 nucleotides long. RefSeq lists it as uncharacterized. The record is from RefSeq and is a predicted model, not a curated record. Lineage: Eukaryota; Metazoa; Porifera; Homoscleromorpha; Homosclerophorida; Plakinidae. The transcript has 3 exons.
UCUGUGUUGACCAAGCGCUCGGGGAUUCUGUCCCCUGUGUCCGAAUCAAUUUCAUGAGAGUUUCCCGAACUCGAACUGCUCUCAGCGUCAUCACAUUCGGGCUCAAAACAGUAUACGCCAUAUACUCUGAUGACAACACAUGCGCAAUAGGUUAAGAUUUCGUACGUCAUCAUCUCAAAAUGGCGACCACCAUAGGGUUACGCCUCUCGUUGGAAGCUCAAUUUCUCCGUUCAGAAAGAGUUCUAUUAAGAAAGAAAGAUGGAAAAGCGUCAAAGCUGGCUGCACGAGGCAAUAGAUCUUCGAACAUAUCAUCGACCUCAUCAUCUGGAAUAAUAACAAAUUACAAUCGCAAAGUUGCCAUCAGAAAUAUACAGAUACUAUGUAGUUGCAAAUAACAGCAGAGUGAUCCUUCUGGAAAUGUAGUAAGGAAACAAAGACUUGAUGACAACAAAUUACCAGAAUUACAUCAGAAUCGUCAUAUUCGGCU